CACGUAGGGGGCGAGCGUUGUCCGGAUUUAUUGGGCGUAAAGAGCGUGUAGGCGGCUUUACAGGUCCGUUGUGAAAACUCGAGGCUCAACCUCGAGACGCCGGUGGAAACCGUAAGGCUAGAGUCCGGAAGAGGAGAGUGGAAUUCCUGGUGUAGCGGUGAAAUGCGUAGAUAUCUGGAGGAACACCGGUGGCGAAGGCGGCAUCCUGGACCGACACUGACGCUGAGGAGCGAAAGCUAGGGGAGCAAACGGG
Molecule: ribosomal RNA, 253 nt
Filed under: uncultured bacterium
Lineage: Bacteria
Description: partial 16S ribosomal RNA
Rfam family: Bacterial small subunit ribosomal RNA
Source: RNAcentral